AUUGUAGUCUGCAACCCGACUACAUGAAGCUGGAAUCGCUAGUAAUCGCGGAUCAGAAUGCCGCGGUGAAUACGUUCCCGGGUCUUGUACACACCGCCCGUCACACCAUGGGAGUCGGAAAUGCCCGAAGCCGGUGACCCAACCCGAAAGGGAGGGAGCCGUCGAAGGCAGGUCGGAUGACUGGGGUGAAGUCGUAACAAGGUAGC
This 206-nucleotide ribosomal RNA is filed under the name uncultured bacterium. Its description in RNAcentral is "partial 16S ribosomal RNA". It matches the Rfam family "Bacterial small subunit ribosomal RNA", at positions 1297 to 1500 of the family's 1533-position model. The record is from RNAcentral.